GGAGCUGACAGAUACUAAUCGAUCGAGGACUUAACCAUAUUUUUGAAUGAUGUCACACCUGUUAUCUAGUUUUGAGAGAACACUCUCAAUUUGUUUGGUGGCGAUAGCGAAGAGGUCACACCCGUUCCCAUACCGAACACGGAAGUUAAGCUCUUCAGCGCCGAUGGUAGUCGGGGGKUUCCCCCUGUGAGAGUAGGACGCCGCCAAGC
This 209-nucleotide ribosomal RNA is filed under the name Bacillus subtilis J22. The record is from RNAcentral. Lineage: Bacteria; Bacillati; Bacillota; Bacilli; Caryophanales; Bacillaceae.